Molecule: non-coding RNA, 301 nt
Organism: Pelobates cultripes (western spadefoot toad)
Lineage: Eukaryota; Metazoa; Chordata; Amphibia; Anura; Pelobatidae
Source: the annotation of a GenBank genome assembly
AUCACUUUGUUUUCUCUAUCUGCAUGUUUUGCACAUAUCACUUUUAACACUGUCAGUUCCGUUUAGGGUCUGACUCUAUAUUCUAAUUUCAGAUGUGUUGAUUCAUAUAGCAUAUAUGACACAUAGAUUCAUGAUUUUUUAUUAAUGAUAUUUGAUCUUUUGAUCAGUUGGAUAAAUUGAUAAUGGAGAUUUUUUUCCUUUUGAUUAAUUAGUUGCUCGAUCUAAUAAUACUUUGUUCAUUCCUAUACACAUUAAUAAAGUUUUCACUAUGCGUUUACCGUUUCUAUGUUGCCAGGGUGAC